This 386-nucleotide RNase P RNA is filed under the name Mucilaginibacter sp. RNAcentral describes it as "RNase P RNA component class A". It matches the Rfam family "Bacterial RNase P class A". From Rfam's summary of the family: Ribonuclease P (RNase P) is a ubiquitous endoribonuclease, found in archaea, bacteria and eukarya as well as chloroplasts and mitochondria. Its best characterised activity is the generation of mature 5'-ends of tRNAs by cleaving the 5'-leader elements of precursor-tRNAs. Cellular RNase Ps are ribonucleoproteins. Lineage: Bacteria; Pseudomonadati; Bacteroidota; Sphingobacteriia; Sphingobacteriales; Sphingobacteriaceae. The record is from RNAcentral.
GCUGCAAAACGUUCUAUCGCUGCUCCAACCUACGGGCGGAGCGGAGGAAAGUCCGGGCAACAUAGAGCAUCCUGCUUCCUAACGGGAAGGCGCCGGCAGCCGGCGACAGCAAGUGCCACAGAAAAUAUACCGCCUUGUUUACAGGGUAAGGGUGAAAACGUGAGGUAAGAGCUCACGGCUUUCCCGGGCGACCGGGAUUGCGGUAAACCUCAGGGGUUGAAAAACCAAAUAGGUCUUGAAAGCGGGGCGGCUCGUCCCCUGUCCCGGGCAACCGGGGCCGUCAAGAUGGGUAGGUUGUUUAAGCCUGUCAGCAAUGGCAGGACCAGAUUAAUGAUAGAAGUCAUCGUUCGAUGAUACAGAACCCGGCUUACAGAUUUGCAGCUGAU